This 3104-nucleotide ribosomal RNA is filed under the name Pyrenophora tritici-repentis. Its description in RNAcentral is "bacterial LSU rRNA". The stretch from base 688 to 3104 matches the Rfam family "Bacterial large subunit ribosomal RNA", at positions 1 to 2471 of the family's 2925-position model. Lineage: Eukaryota; Fungi; Ascomycota; Dothideomycetes; Pleosporales; Pleosporaceae. The record is from RNAcentral.
ACUGAUGUGGACAAAAUACGGAUCUUAACAGAAAACCGUAAUAAAGUAGCUGUAUAUCGUUGAGUAAACAAGGUAAACGGUAAUAUUUACAUUGGUAGUUCUACUAAUUUACAUGUUAGAAUGUAUACAUAUUUUAGUUUACGUUCUCUAGCAAAAAGUAAUAGACCUAUUGAUAGAGCUCUUUUAAAACACGGGUAAGAAAAAAAAGUAAAAAAAAUUCUCCUACCCCUGCUACCCCCAACUACGGAGUCGUUGGAGGGUCCGGGAAUUUUUUUUAUUUUUUUUCUUGCUAACUUUAGAUUAGAAAUCUUGGAGUAUUGUUCCUAUGAAGAUGUACUUAAAAGAGAGCAAUAUUACUUAGAUCUUUGUAAACCUCAUUAUAAUAUAGCUACUAUCGCAGGCUCUACUUUAGGAUAUAAACAUUCUCAAGAAUCACUAGAAAAAAUGAGAAACAUUAUUCUAAGUGAUGAAGUAAGAGAAAGAAAAGCUCUUUCUACUGUUAAUGCUUCAAUAGCUAAUAGAUUGCCUAUUAGUGUUAAAAAUAUAAUAACUAAUGAUGUAACAAGUUAUGCUAGCAUGACUGAGGCAGGUAAAGCAUUAGGUGUAACAAGAGCUACAGUAAGUCAAGCAUUGUUGCAUAAUAGACUAAUUAAAAAAACGUAUUCUAUCUGUAAAAUUAAAUAAAAACUUCAAAAAAUAAAAUUAUAUUAUCUGUUAAAUGGAUAGUAAUAAAAUGCUAUUUAGGGAGAAAAGUCUCAGCUCGGCCUAAGUUGGAAUAAAUAAAAUUCCACGGCCAAAGAGAUAAUUUGUAUCGUUGUAAAGAUAUCCAAAGAACUGUGGUAAGUUAGUGAAAGACAAUCCUGACUACUAUAGCUGGUUUUCCGCGAAACAUAUGUAAGUAUGUAGUUUAAAUAACAUCAUAGCAGGUACAGAACUGUAAUCUCGGACAAUUUGUGCAUUAAUAUCCUAUUAGGGUAUAUAAUGCCUUGUGCAUAUGGGGGGGUCGUGAAGACUCUAUUCGCGAGUAUUUGCUCUCGGAAGGGCAAUGAUGAGUGUUGAACUAUCAGACAUUUAACGAUAAGGUUGUGUGUCAAAAGGGAAACAGCCCAGAACAAGUGUUUAAGGUUCCAAAGUUUUUGUUAAGUGAAAGUAAGGAAGUAUUUAAACUAUACAACCAGGAAAUAGGCUUAGAAGCGGCCAUUUUUUAAAGACCUCGUAACAGAGCACUGGUUCAAAUGGUUAAUUCGUUAACCUAAUUAGUUAAAAGCGCCGAAGAUAUAACGGAUCUAAAACAAAACACCGACACCUUGUCCAUAAUAAUAAUAUUAGGUUAAAUCCUAGUUUACUAUACUUAAAGGUUAUUUAAGUAUUAUUUAUGGGGUAGCGGAACAUUGGGUAAAUAGGUUUUAAAUAGAUAGCACUCCCUACCCUUAGCUUAAUUGAAUUUGGGGAGAGGUCUUUUAUUAAUGUAUAAUAACUGACUAUAGAGGGUUACGUCUAUUUCAUAAUUACAUUUGUAAUUUGCUCGCUAUAUAGCGGGUUACCAUACAUAUCCCAAGUGAGAAUGCUGACACGAGUAACGAAAAAGAGGGAGAAAUUGGGCAAACCCAAUUGAACAGGAUAGAUUGAAGUACGUAGAUAAACUAAAUAGAUGAUACGACCCAACCUGUUGUAAGGUCCUCUCGCCUUAAGCUUAUGGGAAAGUUAAUCGGUCUCUAAAUUUAACCUAAAGGAUAAAAUGAUGAGGAAAAGUAUAUGUGACAACAUAAAAUGGAGUAAAAUGUUCUGGAAAAGCAUAUACUAAGCAAGGAAGGAGAAAUGGUUCUAGGUUAUAAACUAAAAAGAAGAUACUAGGCAUUUCUUUCUAUAGGGAAUAAACUAGAACAGAUGAUACUAGUUUCCUUGUUUAUACUAAAACCGUACCUAAAAACUACCACAAGUAAGCUAGUAGAGAAUACGAAGGCGUUUGAGCUAACAAUCAUUAAGGAACUCGGCAAAUUGACACCGUAACUGCGGGAGAAGGUGUGCCAUUCCUACUGAUUAAUAUCAGUUUAGGAAGAGGAGACAUAAAAUGGUGUUGCACGACUGUUUAAUUAAAACACAGCACUUUGCGUAAGAUGUAAAUCAAUGUAUAGAGUGCGCUAUCUGCCCAAUGAUGGCUGGUUAACGGAUUUACUUAGACGACUAAAAUAGCCUAGGUUUUGAAGGAACCCCCAUUUAAUGGCGGCCUUACCUAUAAGGGUCCUAAGGUAGCGAAAUACCUUGGCAUUUAAAUGAUGUCGCGCAUGAAUGAUCUCACGAUGCAACAGCUGUCUCAAUGAUUGGCUCAGUGAAACUGGAAUGGCAGUGAAGAUACUGCCUAUCUCUAGAUAGACGAGAAGACCCCAUGCAGCUUUACUGUUACUAGUUAUAGGGUAUAAUUUAACAGGUUUUAGGGAAUAAGGUAGUUGAACGACAAAAUUGAAACACCUUUACUCUGGUUGUUAUAUCAGUAGAAUAGGUUACAUUAUUGUAACUGACGUCUGAAUGUAAUCCAUAAAAGGAGGGAGAUUAUAUCAAGCUCAGGAGACAAUGGCUAGCAGAUGGUUUAUGCGGGGCACAGAUCCCAUAAAGAGUACCUGGGAGUAUCCAAAUUUAUUUUUGUAAUAUGCUAUACGCAAAUUAUAUGGGGCUUUUAUUAAAUAAUUGCCUUGUAUAUUUUAAUUUUUUAAUUACUAUAUUUAGUUUGUUAUUUUUUAUAUUUACUUUUAUAAAGUAUCUAUAACUAAUUCAGUUAUAUUUCUAUUUAAGUUAGAACUAAAACAAUUUAAUAUAAGUAAGAUUUUACCUAUGUGGAAAAUAGGUGUAUAUAUAGUAUUAAUAAUUAAUAUCUAAUGGUAAAAUAACAAUAUAGAGUAAAAGAAGAUAUAAUUAUAACACUAUUAGUUAUUUUUUUUUACAGAAUACCUGUAUAAGAGAAAUGAUGUUGAUAUAUACUUCAAAAGUUUAAUGGCUUAAUCUUGCUUUACUGUUUGACAUACACGUCUAUCAGUUGCGUAAGCAGGGCAUAAAGACCGCAAGACGCAGUAAGGAAAGGUCUUGUAUUAUUGAAAAAGCUACGCUGG